AACACAUGCAAGUCNAGGGGCAGCAUGGUCUUAGCUUGCUAAGGCUGAUGGCGACCGGCGCACGGGUGAGUAACGCGUAUCCAACCUGCCCCUGUCUCACGGAUAGCCCGGUGAAAAAUCGGAUUAAUACGUGAUGCAGUCAAAAUCUGUCCUCAGUUUUUGACUAAAGGUUUACCGGACAGGGAUGGGGAUGCGUCCGAUUAGGUAGACGGCGGGGUAACGGCCCACCGUGCCUUCGAUCGGUAGGGGUUCUGAGAGGAAGGUCCCCCACACUGGAACUGAGACACGGUCCAGACUCCUACGGGAGGCAGCAGUGAGGAAUAUUGGUCAAUGGACGAGAGUCUGAACCAGCCAAGUAGCGUGCAGGAUGACGGCCCUAUGGGUUGUAAACUGCUUUUUCGCGGGGAUGACAUGCUCCACGUGUGGGGUAUUGCAGGUACCGCGUGAAUAAGGACCGGCUAAUUCCGUGCCAGCAGCCGCGGUAAUACGGAAGGUCCGGGCGUUAUCCGGAUUUAUUGGGUUUAAAGGGGAGCGUAGGCCGACGGUUAAGCGUGUUGUGAAAUGCGGGUGCUCAACGUCCGCACUGCAGCGCGAACUGUCCGUCUUGAGUGUGCAGAAAGUCGGCGGAAUUCGUGGUGUAGCGGUGAAAUGCUUAGAUAU
RNAcentral lists this ribosomal RNA (660 nucleotides) under uncultured Bacteroidales bacterium. Its description in RNAcentral is "bacterial SSU rRNA". It matches the Rfam family "Bacterial small subunit ribosomal RNA", at positions 50 to 697 of the family's 1533-position model. Lineage: Bacteria; Pseudomonadati; Bacteroidota; Bacteroidia; Bacteroidales. The record is from RNAcentral.